CACGGGGGGAGCAAGCGUUGUUCGGAAUCACUGGGCGUAAAGAGCGUGUAGGCGGCUAGAUAGGUCCGUUGUGAAAACUCGAGGCUCAACCUCGAGACGUCGAUGGAAACCAUCUGGCUAGAGUCCGGAAGAGGAGAGUGGAAUUCCUGGUGUAGCGGUGAAAUGCGCAGAUAUCAGGAAGAACACCCGUGGCGAAGGCGGCUCUCUGGGACGUGACUGACGCUGAGACGCGAAAGCGUGGGGAGCGAACAGG
This 253-nucleotide ribosomal RNA is filed under the name uncultured bacterium. RNAcentral describes it as "partial 16S ribosomal RNA". It matches the Rfam family "Bacterial small subunit ribosomal RNA", at positions 524 to 776 of the family's 1533-position model. The record is from RNAcentral.